ACAUGAGAGGCCCUCUCAAGGUUUGUUUUUACAAGGCUCCUCACACACCUGGCACUCACUGAAUAAAUGGAUGACUGUUUAAAGAAUGAGAAAGUACCUGUGGAAUAAAAAGGAAAAGUAAUUUGCCAAGAUUGAAAAUUCACUGAAACAAUCUCUCCUUCCUCUCAGUAUUUAGCGAGUUAAGGGUUAGUUUUGUACUUGAAUUAAGGAGCUUAAAUCCUGAACUCCACCACCGAUCCACUGUUAAUAUCUUGUUUAGAUAACCUUUCAGGUAUUUUUUCUGUGCAUAUAUCCUUUUUCUUCUUCUCACUUUACAAAAACCAAACAGCACAUCUUAUUUUAGGACCUGCUGUUUUUCUCUUAUGUCAUAGAUACAUUUUUAAUUUCCAAUAGCAGGUGGGUAGAGUGGGUGCUGUGGGCAGACAUAAGAUUACCACCCCUGUGCCUGUGAGAUGCUAAGAGAAGGGAAACCUGGGAGAUACCUGCAUUUAAAGGGCAGGUGGACGAAGAGGGACCCAUGAGCGGCCAGAAAGUGGAACACAAAGAUGGGGGGAAAGCAUGGCAACGUGGUCUGAAAGAAGUUGGAAGGAGAAAAUUUCAGGGAGCCUUCCUUCGCCUAAAGUGAGGGUGUGAAAUUUGUGUUUUGAAAGGGUCUGGGUUAGAGUUGCAUUUAGUUGCCUUUAAGUGAAACCCAAAGUCUUAACCAAAGAGGUUUUAUUUUGCUCAGCUGAGAAAGUUUCAGAGCGGGCAAUCAAGGGCUGGCACCACUGUUCAAGUUCAUCAUCAAGGACCCCAUGCCCUUUGUCGUUGCUUCCUCCACCAUUCUUAGCAUGAGGCAUCAUCCUCAUGGCUGCGUGGCCGCUGCUUUGCUUCCAGCCGUCAUUCCAACCAAGAAGAAGACAGAAAAGGCGCAAACGUCCCAUAUUACCGGAGUCUGUCCAUUUUCAUCAAAAGCUCCAUCCCAUAAACUUUGCUUUCAGAACGGGGUGGUGUGGCUGCUCCCAUGGAACAAGAGUCUGGGGAUAAGGAGUAUGUUCACCUGAGCACUCGGCUAAUCAUUUCUUCUGGCAAAGAGGAAGGGAAGGGAUGCUGGGGAAGCAACCCGCAGUAUCUCCUGUGUGGUGAUUAUAUUAGGCCCAAGCUCACAGCAUGCAGCCUUCUUAGAUUUAUUGCUUUUUUGUGAGAGGCAAAACUAUUACAGCAUUCCAUUUAAUUCUCAUUCUAACAGGAAGUAAAGAAUAAAUCACAAUCUGUCCUGGGCUGGUUUUCCUCAUAAAGUCGGGCACUUAGAGGGAUCCGUGUCAGCUAAACCUCUGGGUUCUGGCUCUUUUGGUUUUAUAGACAGGGCCCUCAUACAUACAUAUAUAUAUAUUUUUUUUAAUUAAAUUCCACCUUGCAAAAGUAGGUGGAAAAUCUAAGCACAGCAAGUUGCUAGGAGACCAGAGGGGCUUGAUUGGGUUGAGCUGUUUGGGGCUUGCAUGACUCAAUUUCUCUCACCUGAGGACAGACAUGCCUGACACUGGUUUAAUUUCCAAAGCUGGGGGCGGCGGGGGGGCAGAGUUGCAGCUCUGAGCCGAGGGAGAGGCCAGGCUAAGUUCUGCAGGAUGAGCUGUUGCAGGGUCUCUGAGGUGAAAGGAGCAGGCCACCUGCUGAGGUGGUGAAGAGAUUUCUCAACCUUUCUUCGUGAAGCAGGAAGUGUCCUGGAGAAGUUCCAUUUUUCCCCAAGAACCUUGCCCUCACCCUUUUAGGGCUUUCGUCUCUGGGUGGCUGGUCUUGAAACAGUGAGCUGCUAGGAGAAAAAGUCUGGGAGCUGUAGUCUGCCAUAGCCGAGGCCUUCCGUAGAGGUCAGGAUGGAUUUGCUUUUCCCCCAGCUCCUGGCCAUUUCUCGGCCCUGUCUCCCUGCGCCCCCGUGUUGCUAGAAAACUACCUUUGUUAGCUACAUUGAGCACAUGCCAGAUGCAGUUCAUCUAAAUGAGCAAGUGCUUUCUGGGACCAGGCCCAGUGGGAGAGAAGCUGAGUGGAGAUCGGUCAGCAUGCCAACCCCUGGCUGCUGAAAGGAAAAGCAUAUUAUUUCCAGAGGACUGUGUGUGCCAGCCCAUGGGCAGACACCAGGAAGAGGCAGGGUCCCUCGGCUGGAUCUUUAGUCCUGCCCAGCACCCUCCAGCCAAAGAGGAGAGCUGGCGCUGGGGAAUUUCCAUGCUGUAAUUCAUUUCAGCAGGAUAAACAGAGCUCCUCCUCUGGAAGGUUUGGCCCUGAGCGAAAGGCACUUGGAAUCGACCUGGGGGGCUCCGAGGUCCCAUGUGAAACUGAGAAGGGAAACAGAAGUCAGGUGACACGAGAUGCAGCGGGCUCUGACACCGAAAGGCCACCGGACCUGAUGAAUACCUUUGUUUGCUGGGAAGAUGCCAUGGGGUCUCCGUUCCCAUCGUUGGUUUAAAAACAUUAACAACAGCUUAGCAGGAUCUUGUAAACAGCUGCUGUCCUUUGAUGCAGCAACCCAGGAAGAAAAAGCCCAGCACUUUUGCCAGCACGGUGGUUCUACUACCUCAGGAGGUCUGAGCCGGAACCUGAGACUCUCCGUUUCUAACAAGCUCCAGGUGAAGUCACGCUGCUGAUCCACGGACCACACUUUGAGAUGUGAAGCUGGCUGUGCGAUGGUCAGGUCUGACCUGACGCCAUCCCAAGGAUCCAAGGAGCUUGGGAGAGUUUUGCUAACCCCAGAGAUGCUGCCCCUUCUGGAAUCUACUGGGCUUUGAACUGAACUUGGCGUGAGGCCUCUGGUGACCACUAGGGGCGUGAGCUGCCCCCUCUGCAGGCUGUGCCUGGUUGUUGACAGGUGAGGACUCUACUGAGAACUCGGCCGCACCACCUCUCUUCUCUGGGUUGGUAAGAAGGCAUCUACCCUUCAGCUACCAUGAGGAGCUUCUGUGUAGGGGAGAAACGCCAGUCACCCAGGGGGUGUGGGGCUUCAGCUCAGCCCUAUCCACUGACCGAAUAGUAAACAAGGCCCAUGAGGAGCGUCGGAGGUCAGAAGCUGAAAACAGACACCCAGGGCCAGCUCAUCACCAAUAAGAGGUUUAUUUUUAUCCCGUAACCCUCACCCCCUUAAAAAUUGGGAAGCACAUUUAAAGGGCUGUUUAGGAUCAGAGACACUUGAAGCAUUGGACCUGUGCCUGGCUCAGCGGAGGAAAAGGGGACAGGAAUUCAGUCUCCGCAGGACAACUACUUCCCAGGGCCUGCAGACCCACUGCCCACAAGAUCAGCCCAAGAUGAGAGGGAAGUCUAAGAGCUUUGCAAAAAUGUCUCCUCAGUGCCUGGGCCUCAUUUCCCAGGCUUGGAUGGUCCUUUCCUGUCCCAUCAAGGUCGCCAGCUGUCAUUGGUGUCUCCAGCCCAAAGGCCCAACCCAACUGGCUCCGAGAGAUAGUAAGUUCUUAAGAAACCUGUCUCCUUUGAGUAACAAGAGCUUUUAGCUUUAUUGUGAAUGCUGUGUAGACCACCAGAGCGUGCCCAGACACAACAGCUCAGCCAAGACUGAGGGUGGAGGAGAAGGAAUUCUCCCGGGGCUCUGGUCACUGAGAUCUGGACGUCACUAGCAAGGCGAAUAUCACACCCCAUGUGCCUCUGGGUCUAUCUCUAACCAGCAAGUACUCAGAAUCAGACUGCAGCUCCCUCCUCAUUAAAACACUUCAGUAGGAGUUUCCAUUGUGGCUCAGUGGGUUAAGAACCUCAUUAACAUCCAUGAGGUUGUGGGUUCAAUCCCUGGCCCCACU
This is a non-coding RNA of Sus scrofa (pig), 3770 nucleotides long. Lineage: Eukaryota; Metazoa; Chordata; Mammalia; Artiodactyla; Suidae. The record is from RefSeq and is a predicted model, not a curated record.